This 72-nucleotide transfer RNA is filed under the name Acidimicrobiia bacterium. RNAcentral describes it as "tRNA-Thr". It matches the Rfam family "tRNA". From Rfam's summary of the family: Transfer RNA (tRNA) molecules are approximately 80 nucleotides in length. Their secondary structure includes four short double-helical elements and three loops (D, anti-codon, and T loops). Further hydrogen bonds mediate the characteristic L-shaped molecular structure. tRNAs have two regions of fundamental functional importance: the anti-codon, which is responsible for specific mRNA codon recognition, and the 3' end, to which the tRNAs corresponding amino acid is attached (by aminoacyl-tRNA synthetases). tRNAs cope with the degeneracy of the genetic code in two manners: having more than one tRNA (with a specific anti-codon) for a particular amino acid; and 'wobble' base-pairing, i.e. permitting non-standard base-pairing at the 3rd anti-codon position. RNAcentral also lists the same sequence under 5 other names. Lineage: Bacteria; Bacillati; Actinomycetota; Acidimicrobiia. The record is from RNAcentral.
GCCCUCUUAGCUCAGUGGUAGAGCACUUCCAUGGUAAGGAAGGGGUCGUGGGUUCAAUCCCCACAGAGGGCU